UACAAGCACUGUGAUAUUGUGACAGUCAAUCUGAUAACCCAGUGAUUCACACCCCUGGUGGAAGGGAGCAAGACCACAUGACAGCUCAUCAUGCCACUCAGAAGGGACCUAUUACUUAAAACUUAUACAUUACUUAUUUCUGGAAUUUUCCAUUUAAUAUUUUUGGACUGCAGUUAACCAAGGGUAACUGAGACCAUGCAAAGCAAAACCAUGUGUAAGGGGGGACUACUGUGUUAGGAUUUAAGAGGUGGCCUAAAAAAUGUUUGAGAGCAGUGAUUGUUUCUAUAUGCUCUUAUUUUUUCUAUCAGGCACUGUCUUUCUCCCAUUCCAAGAUGUAACUGUUUUGACUACAUGAUUCUAUUUGUUGUAGUGAGCAGAUUGCUCUUUAACAUUUUUAUUAAAGAGCAUAAUUUCUGUCCUCACCAUCCCCAUAUAUUGGUUUCUUUUUUUUCUCCACUUUUUUUUAAAGAUCCUUGAAAAAGCCUUGUUUUACAGAACCCUCUCAAACAAGAGCUAAUUAGUUUUCUCAGCAUAAUUGCAGGUGCUGCUGCUGCUGCUAAGUCACUUCAGUCGUGUCUGACUCUGNNNNNNNNNNNNNNNNNNNNNNNNNNNNNNNNNNNNNNNNNNNNNNNCUGGGAUUCUCCAGGCAAGAACACUGGAGUGGGUUGCCAUUGCUUUCUCUGAAUUGCAGGUGAAUCAUCUUCAAAACUCACAGACCUCUUGAACUUCUAGGAAGAGUCCUUUGUCUUCUGAUGAAGAUUUUUGCUGAUGGUUAUUUGUUAUGCAAACAACUUUGCUAACUCUCCAGAAGGUGGAAGGGAAUCUAUUUCUAAAGAAACUAUGUAAGAUUUAAGAAUUGUGUAACUAUAUUAAGGAAACAUUUUAAUUUGACUUAACAAAAUAAGGUAUAAAUUUUAGCCCUCCCAAUUCUUUACCAUCUGAGACCUUGUUAAAAAGGAAAGUUCCCAAAGAUUCAGAGCUCCUCUGUGCAAACUGCUGGGGGCAGUUUUGACCUUGAACCUCUCUCUGUUCUCAAAAUCGCUACAACAGAACUUUUGAAAGUUUGUGGACUUGGGAGAAACAAAAAAUUCUUAGAACCCCGGAUUCUCCAGCGAAUAAAACCAUUAAUUUCCAUCCUAUGAAGCAUGAUAAUGUCACUUCAGUUUUCUUCCCUCAGUGUUGUUUUGAAUAAUGGGGGGUUGCUGUGAAUAGGUAGAGAGCAUUCAUGUAUGAGGUUUUGGGUUUUUUUUUUUCUUUUAUAGUGUAACACACAUAGUAUUUAA
This 1283-nucleotide long non-coding RNA is filed under the name Capra hircus (goat). RNAcentral describes it as "lncRNA (ENSCHIG00010007368.1)". Lineage: Eukaryota; Metazoa; Chordata; Mammalia; Artiodactyla; Bovidae. The record is from RNAcentral.